UUACUUGUGCUGAUGGAAGCUAUCAAACAGUUAUUUUACUGUCUGUAAAGAUCAGUUCUUUAACUUGGCUAUAGACAAUUGCAGACCUGACUACACUGCUCUCACUAUCUCCCUCCUUCCUGUUUUUCCCACCUGAAAGCAGGCACUGUCUAUUGGGAGCUGAAGCAUUCCCCAAAACCCUGGAACUGGUGGACUGUGUCUUUGAAAGGUAGCACACUAGAAAAAUGUCGUGAAGAUUGGGCAAAAGAGAAUGUCUGCAGUAAAAGAUGUCUUCAGGAAAGCUGCUGAGUGGAGGUUGCUGCAGUGAGGCAGUGGUGUCUCUGAGGCCUCGUGAAGUGCCCACAGUUUGUUACACAGAAAUAUUUUCGAAGGACCUGUUAUUUUUUACCCUUCUGUUGCAUUUUGUGACCAGACAAGGAGCAGAAGGCUAAUCCAAGGGCCAGCCAGGGACUGGGCACUUCAAUGUACUUCUCAGGAAGUCCUCGAAUUUGGUGUUUCUCUGGAAAUGUCAGAGGUAAAAGGAAUCUGGAGAAGCUGGAAAUAUGGAGAGCAAACUGUAGCUAUGUCCUAACAAAAUACAAGACCACAGAAGGGAAAAACAAUCCAAAGCCUAAUUUCAGGGGGGAAAACAGCACUGCCUCUUAAACCUCGUGACAGCAACACAACGUUUCUUUUACAUCUGCUUUUUACAUCUGCUUCUACAGACCACAUCCGCUUCUACAGACCACAUCCCUUCUCUGCUGUGCCCCAGGACAGCACUGGCUUGGUUACCUGAAAGAAAACCCUCUCGUGCUGCCUGUC
This is a long non-coding RNA of Pipra filicauda (Wire-tailed manakin), 801 nucleotides long. RefSeq lists it as uncharacterized. The record is from RefSeq and is a predicted model, not a curated record. The transcript is spliced from 4 exons. Lineage: Eukaryota; Metazoa; Chordata; Aves; Passeriformes; Pipridae.